RNAcentral lists this ribosomal RNA (482 nucleotides) under uncultured bacterium. Its description in RNAcentral is "bacterial SSU rRNA". It matches the Rfam family "Bacterial small subunit ribosomal RNA", at positions 903 to 1397 of the family's 1533-position model. The record is from RNAcentral.
AAAUGAAUUGACGGGGACCCGCACAAGCAGCGGAGCGUGUGGUUUAAUUCGAGGCUACGCGAAGAACCUUACCAGGGUUUGACAUACUGGUGGUAGGAAUGUGAAAACAGACUGACCCUUCGGGGAGCCAGUACAGGUGCUGCAUGGCUGUCGUCAGCUCGUGCCGUGAGGUGUUAGGUUAAGUCCUGUAACGAGCGCAACCCUCAUCGUUAGUUAUAUGUGUCUAACGAGACCGCCGGUGAUAAGCCGGAGGAAGGUGGGGAUGACGUCAAGUCAGCAUGGCCUUUAUAUCCUGGGCUACACACACGCUACAAUGGCCGGUACAAUGGGUCGCGAAGCCGCGAGGCGGAGCCAAUCCUCCAAAGCCGGUCUCAGUUCGGAUUGUAGGCUGCAACUCGCCUGCAUGAAGUCGGAGUUGCUAGUAACCGCGCGUCAGCAACAGUGCGGUGAAUACGUUCCCGGGUCUUGUACACACCGCCCGU